CAACCAAGCUAGGGGUGUCUGGAUGUCCAGGCUGAGAUCAAACCCUGAGAACCUGAGACCGGUUCAUACCGGCGGAGGGAAGCUGUUACUAGAGGAA
RNAcentral lists this non-coding RNA (97 nucleotides) under Gloeocapsa. RNAcentral's name for it is "sp. TPP sequence". It matches the Rfam family "TPP riboswitch aptamer (THI element)". Rfam says of the family: Vitamin B(1) in its active form thiamin pyrophosphate (TPP) is an essential coenzyme that is synthesised by coupling of pyrimidine and thiazole moieties in bacteria. The previously detected thiamin-regulatory element, thi box was extended, resulting in a new, highly conserved RNA secondary structure, the THI element, which is widely distributed in eubacteria and also occurs in some archaea. The record is from RNAcentral. Lineage: Bacteria; Bacillati; Cyanobacteriota; Cyanophyceae; Chroococcidiopsidales; Chroococcidiopsidaceae. RNAcentral also lists the same sequence under 1 other name.